This 301-nucleotide ribosomal RNA is filed under the name uncultured bacterium. RNAcentral's name for it is "partial 16S ribosomal RNA". It matches the Rfam family "Bacterial small subunit ribosomal RNA", at positions 509 to 807 of the family's 1533-position model. The record is from RNAcentral.
CAGUAGCCGCGGGAAUACGGAGGGUGCAAGCGUUAUCCGGAUUUAUUGGGUUUAAAGGGUCCGUAGGCGGACUUAUAAGUCAGUGGUGAAAGCCUGUCGCUUAACGAUAGAACUGCCAUUGAUACUGUAAGUCUUGAGUAUAUUUGAGGUAGCUGGAAUAAUUAGUGUAGCGGUGAAAUGCAUAGAUAUUACUUAGAACACCAAUUGCGAAGGCAGGUUACCAAGAUAUAACUGACGCUGAGGGACGAAAGCGUGGGUAGCGAACAGGAUUAGAUACCCCGGUAGUCCCUGUCUCUUAUAC